CUAAGCCUCAUUUAAGGACUGGCUGCCACAAGGAGAGGUUCUCUAGCUGGAGAUCCCUUCUUUUGAAGUAUCUGGGGUGCUGUGAUCCUUGGGACUGUGGUUUUCACUGAAGAAUGUGUAUGUGACGUUGCAUGUUACCAAGAGGUGAAAUUAACGUAGAAACGAAAUAUUAACCAAAGAAGACCAAAGGGAAGGGAGGACAACAGAGGAAGAAAGAAGAAAAAAAAAAUAAAAUAAUGGAGGAAAAAAGCCAAAGCCAUCUGUGAAGAGUGCUGCUUAGCAGGACACUGAGGCUUCCUUUUAUUCAGGAGUUUGCAGCACAGGAGGUCUCCAGGCAGCAUCUUCCAUUGAUUUCAUAAAUCUUUAAAACAAAACCUUAUGCUACCUGCAUGUCUGAAACUCCAUAAUAACAAAAUGGACAGAUUAAACAGACUUGGUUUGAAAGAGGAG
This 450-nucleotide long non-coding RNA is filed under the name Gallus gallus (chicken). RNAcentral describes it as "lncRNA (ENSGALG00010008804.1)". Lineage: Eukaryota; Metazoa; Chordata; Aves; Galliformes; Phasianidae. The record is from RNAcentral.